CGCGGCCGAGAGAGGAAGUAGAUCCCCGCCUGGGAGGAGCCCGCAGACCUGGAACUACGAGUCCCGGCGAGCACUGCGAAGGCCACGCGCGGCUUUCUUUCUUCUCCAAGCACGGUGGCAGUCUUCUGAUCUCUGCUGCUUUUUUUUCCUCAUAAAAACAUGAGACAUAGACAAGAAGAGAAGAUGAUAUGAAAAUGGAGGCAAAGAUUGGAGUGAUGUGGCCACAAGCCAAGGAAACCAGCAACCACCAGAAGCUGAAAGAGGCAAAGAAGAAUUCUGCCUCCCAGCCUCCAGAGGGAGUGUGACCCUGCUAACACCAUGAUUCAGACUUCCGGCCUCCAGAAGAAUGUCUUUUUAAGCCACUACGUUUGUGGUAAUUUGUUAUAGCAGCCCUGGGAAACUAAUACAGUUGUUAAUUAAAAAAACAAGUCAA
Molecule: long non-coding RNA, 433 nt
Filed under: Homo sapiens (human)
Lineage: Eukaryota; Metazoa; Chordata; Mammalia; Primates; Hominidae
Description: non-protein coding lnc-FTH1-3:1
Source: RNAcentral